Molecule: unclassified non-coding RNA, 396 nt
Filed under: uncultured fungus
Lineage: Eukaryota; Fungi
Description: partial contains small subunit ribosomal RNA, internal transcribed spacer 1, and 5.8S ribosomal RNA
Rfam family: Eukaryotic small subunit ribosomal RNA (bases 1-73)
Source: RNAcentral
GCAAACUUGGUCAUUUAGAGGAAGUAAAAGUCGUAACAAGGUUUCCGUAGGUGAACCUGCGGAAGGAUCAUUAACAAAUUAUCCAUUAUGGAUGGUUAAAAAAUCCAUAUCCACCCUUCGUGUGCACAUCAUUGACAUGUUUGCUUUGGCAGUCUUUUUUUUUUAUAUUGCGGGGAAGAGAGAGGAGGGGGAAGACAAGUUUUUCUUUCUUUCUUCUCCUCUUGCUUUACCGACGCUGCCAGAGUUUUUCAACCUUUUUCACCUUGACAAACUUUUGCUUUUUUUUUUCCUUCUGGAAAAAGGGCAAGUCCUUUGAAAAAAGUUAAACAAAAUAAAAAAUCGAAUACAACUUUCAACAACGGAUCUCUUGGCUCUCGCAUCGAUGAAGAACGCAGC